This is an RNA transcript of Pipistrellus kuhlii (Kuhl's pipistrelle), 2287 nucleotides long. It is a transcript of the gene named immunoglobulin superfamily member 8, with no coding region annotated. The record is from RefSeq and is a predicted model, not a curated record. NCBI's taxonomy places the organism in Eukaryota, Metazoa, Chordata, Mammalia, Chiroptera, Vespertilionidae. The transcript has 7 exons.
GGGACUUAGCGGCGCCCUCUCCGCGCAGUCUGCUCCGAGCACCUCGCUCCGCGGCUCCGCUCUGCGCCCCCAGCCCGGCGGGCAUGCGCCCCCUGAGCUCCUGGCCGCCCAGAGCUCACGCCGCCCCCCGGAACCCCCGAGAGCCGGCCGCGCAGGAUGGGCGCCCCGGGCUCCACGCCGCUGCCCCCGCUGCUGCUGCUGAUGCUGGGAGUCGGGUGCUGCGCCCGGCAGGUGCUGGUCCCCCAGGGGCCGCUGUACCGCGUGGCUGGCACGGCCGUCUCCAUCUCCUGCAACGUCACCGACUACGAGGGCCCCUCCCAGCAGGACUUUGAGUGGUUCCUGUACAGGCCCGAGAACCCCGAUGCUUCCGUGGGCAUCGUCAGCACCCGGGACCCCGGCUUCUCCUACGCGGUCUUCAGGCCCCGGGUGGCGGCCGGCGAGGUGCGGGUGCAGCGGGUGCGGGGCGACGCCGCGGUGCUCACCAUCGCGCGCCUGCAGGCCCAGGACGCCGGCGUGUACGAGUGCUACACCCCGUCCACCGACGCCCGCUUCCUGGGCAGCUACAGCGGCAAGGUGGAGCUGAGAGUUCUUCCAGAUGUGCUGCAGGUGUCCGCCGCCUCCCUCGGGCCCCGGGGCCGGCAGAUGCCCCCCUCCCCCUCCCGCCUGACGGUGCACGAGGGCCAGGAGCUGGCCCUGGGCUGCCUGGCGCGGACCAGCACGCAGCAGCACACGCACCUGGCCGUGUCCUUUGGCCGCGCGCUGCCCGAGGCCCCCGUGGGGCGGGCGACGCUGCAGGAGGUGGUGGGGCUCCGGCCGGACCUGGCUGUGGAGGCCGGCGCCCCCUACGCCCAGCGGCUGGCGGCCGGGGAGCUGCGGCUGGCCAAGGAGGGCGCCGAGCGGUACCGCAUGGUGCUGGGGGGAGCCCAGGCCGAGGACGCCGGCACCUACCACUGCACCGCCGCCGAGUGGAUCCAGGACCCCGACGGCAGCUGGGCCCAGAUCGCGGAGAAGAGGGCCGUGCUGGCCCACGUGGACGUGCAGACGCUGUCCAGCCAGCUGGCGGUGGCCGUGGGGCCCGGGGAGCGCCGCAUCGGCCCCGGGGAGCCCUUGGAACUGCUGUGCAACGUGUCCGGGGCGCUGCCCACACCGGGCCACCACGCCACCUACUCCGUGGGCUGGGAGAUGGCCCCCGCAGGGGCGCCCGGGCCUGGCCGCCUGGUAGCCCAGUUGGACACGGAGGGUGUGGGCAGUCUGGGCUCCGGCUACGAGGGCCGGCACAUCGCCAUGGAGAAGGUGGCGUCCAGAACCUACCGGCUACGCAUGGAGGCCGCCCAGCCCGGCGACUCGGGCACCUACCGCUGCCUCGCCAAGGCCUACGUGCGAGGGUCCGGGGUCCGGCUGCGCGAAGCGGCCAGCGCCCGCUCCCGGCCCCUCCCCGUGCACGUGCGGGAGGAAGGCGUGGUGCUGGAGGCGGUGGCGUGGCUGGCGGGAGGCGCCGUGUACCGCGGGGAGACGGCCUCGCUGCUCUGCAACAUCUCGGUGCGGGGCGGCCCCGCGGGGCUGCGGCUGGCCACCAGCUGGUGGGUGGAGCGGCCCGAGGGCCCCGGGCUGAGCUCCGCGCCCGCCCAGCUGGUGGGCGGCACGGGGCAGGACGGCGUGGCGAAGCUGGGGGUCAGGCCCGGGGGAGGCCCCGUCAGCGUGGAGCUGGUGGGGCCCCGGAGCCACCGGCUGAGGCUGCACAGCCUGGGGCCCGAGGACGAAGGCAUAUACCACUGCACGCCCAGCGCCUGGGUGCAGCACGCCGACUACAGCUGGUACCAGGUGGGCAGCGCCCGGUCGGGGCCUGUCACAGUCUACCCCUACCUGCAUGCCCGGGACACCCUGCUCAUGCCCCUGCUGGUGGGGGCAGCCGUGGCCCUCGUCACCGGCGCCGCCAUCCUGAGCACCAUCACCUGCUGCUUCAUGAAGAGGCUGCGGAAACGAUGAGCCCUGCCCCCCGGCCCAGGUGAGGGAAAGCACCCGCCUUGCCUUCUCAUGCCCUGUGUCACAGGUGUUGAGUGUCUUCCAGCCCAGCUCCAAGCCCACCUCUGGUCACCCGGACACCCUCUCUCUCUGGCUGCUCUUCCUUUAAUUUAUUUGACCUGCCCCCACUCUCAGGGGGGGCCUGGCCUCCAUUUCCUCCUGAUCCCUCCCGCUGGCUCCGUGUUCCAUCUCUCACACCAUCCUCCAGGGAGGCCUUCCCAUCCCGCUCGUUUUUCUAAGAUGUGAAUAAACUCGUUUUAUAAAA